GAUGAAGAACGUAGCGAAAUGCGAUACGUAAUGUGAAUUGCAGAAUUCAGUGAAUCAUCGAGUCUUUGAACGCACAUUGCGCCCCCUGGUAUUCCGGGGGGCAUGCCUGUCCGAGCGUCAUAGCUGCCCUCAAGCACGGCUUGUGUGUUGGGCCUCCGUCCUCCUCCCGGGGGACGGGCCCGAAAGGCAGCGGCGGCACCGCGUCCGGUCCUCGAGCGUAUGGGGCUUCGUCACCCGCUCUUGUAGGCCCGGCCGGCGCUUGCCGACACAUCAAUCUUUUUUCCAGGUUGACCUCGGAUCAGGUAGGGAUACCCGCUGAACUUAAGCAUAUCAAUAAGCGGAGGA
RNAcentral lists this unclassified non-coding RNA (345 nucleotides) under soil metagenome. Its description in RNAcentral is "partial contains 5.8S ribosomal RNA, internal transcribed spacer 2, and large subunit ribosomal RNA". The stretch from base 1 to 120 matches the Rfam family "5.8S ribosomal RNA", at positions 35 to 154 of the family's 154-position model. The record is from RNAcentral.